This 387-nucleotide ribosomal RNA is filed under the name Acholeplasma laidlawii. RNAcentral's name for it is "bacterial LSU rRNA". It matches the Rfam family "Bacterial large subunit ribosomal RNA", at positions 1197 to 1594 of the family's 2925-position model. The record is from RNAcentral. Lineage: Bacteria; Bacillati; Mycoplasmatota; Mollicutes; Acholeplasmatales; Acholeplasmataceae.
AAUUUAUGGAUUAUUAUUCGUAAGAAUGAUAGUGGUAGACGAGCGUUGUAUAUGGGAUGAAGUCAAACCGUGAGGAUUGGUGGACUGUAUACAAGUGAGAAUGCCGGUGUAAGUAACGCUUGAGAGUGAGAAUCUCUCAAACCGAUUGACUAAGGUUUCCUGGACGAGGGUCGUCCUUCCAGGGUUAGUCUGGACCUAAGGCGAGGCAGAAAUGCGUAGUCGAUGGAAGAACAGGUUAAUAUUCCUGUACAAACAAAUAGCUGAUGGAGUGACGGAGAAGGUUAAUGCAUCCCCAUUAUCGAUUUGGGCGUUAAAUAAGAAGUCUUAAGGGUUGGCAAAUCCGCCUUUUUUAAGGCACAACUUAUGAAUACGAGUGAACGCUUUGCA